AAUAAUAAUAAUAAUAAUCUCAAAAAAAUGCUAUAUAUGAAUCAAAUGGCUAUUCGUAAGUCGUAACCCCUUCGCAGAAGGCCAGAGAAGAAGCUCUCUCAGAAAUUCAUCAUCUUUCCUCUAUCCAUCCUUUGAAGGAUGAGGGCUGCAUACUGUGAUCAUCUGCUUCACACUCGUAUCUACUUAUCGUCUCCUACAAUCCCUCACCAACAAAAUCUGCGUGUCGGCUUCUCCGUCUCUAAAGCAGCAGAACAGAAUCGGGAUGGUCGGACUCGGAGAUUGGUGCAUGCUUCUUGCGGUGCAAUCAGAGCCGUAUAUGGAGCUCAGCUAUCGCCCUGGGAUGAGAAACCUUAUGAGAUUCUGCCAAGUGGGAAAAAGGCCUACUUGGAUGAGCAAGAUGUGGUGACAUUUCUUGAUCCUCCAAAAGAAUUGAUUCCUCUCGACCCUGGGUCUUACAAUCCAGCUGCAUAUCUAUGGAAAAAAAUUGAAGACAUUCUGGAAGAAAGGCGUCCUAGAUUGCUGACCUUGCUAAAACCUAGGCUUAUAUCAAGAGCUUGGCAGAUAGCUGGCACCCGCUAUGAGGAUCCUCAGUUAGCUAGGAAAUGUGCAUCCAACUUGUUAUGUUCUGAAGAAAAGGAACCAUCACUAGAAUUCUAUAAUUGCCAAAGCAGUGGAGGACCUUGGCCUAUUGCUUGGAUGAAAUCCUUCAAGAAGGCUAUAUUCCAUUGUGAUAAUGGAAAGACUUAUGGGAGAUUGAUUGGUGGGUCACCUCUGGCGCAAAUUACAAAUACCUGUAGUCCAUUGUAUUUUAUGGUAGUGCAAUGUGGGGAAGUAAUGUCAACAGAGCAGCCUUGUGAUCUAGCAUAUGAAUUGGGGGAUGGGCACCUGAAUCUCCAUAACUAUCCUCAAGGUUUUCCAAUACCAGGUGGGAUUUGUGUAUGACAUUUAAGUCAAUGUGUCGACUGAGAUUAUAGCAGUUUAUGCAGGUGCUUCUUAUUGUUUUCUUGUGGCAAAGUUGCAAGAAUUUCUCUUCGUCAUUUCUCCCUGCUUUGUUGACUUGACAAGAUGAUGCUGAUUUUGCAUUUUCAUUCAACAAGAUCAUAAUUCUGCAAAGCAUCCAUAUCCAUUCUAUGAUCAGGUUGUUAUAUAUGUUCGUCAUGUUGGACCUGGGGUGUCAGUGGCGCAAGCAUGGCAAGAAGGAAAGGAAUUACAGCAAGUGCCUAGGAAGCUAUGCGGGGAGAUUUUAAUGGUUAAAGAUUAUGCUGCAUCUGCAGUAGGUCGCUGAAGAAAUCUCCUGUCUUUCCUGUUUUCACUACUAUGCUGAUUCGUUGCAAAAUUUUCCGAGUAUACAAGUAGAGAAUUACUUGAAGACAUGCAUGGCAAGGUUUUGAAAUGGACAUGUUUCCUGCCAAGGCUUUGAAAGACAUGUUCAGCAUAAACUAGGAAGGGGAAUAGCUCGACAUAUUUGAAUGUCUUCCUGGAUUAGAUGUGAAAACUGUGCAGUCAAAAGAUCUAUUUUCCCCAAAAUCUACAUCCAUUUGUCACCGAAGGUCAUCAUUUUUGGAGUGGACAUUUAUGCCUCUCGUAGAUACGGUGGUGGACAUUUGCCUAAAUGUUUGUGGUGAAUAAUUUUUAAAACACAUGACUGAUGGAAGUAGUGAAGGUUAAAAUGAGCCUCUGAAGGCCAGUUGGCUGCUCAGCUCGUAUCUAUCAUCAUCGUCAUUCCUUGGAGUCAAUAAAUUGUUCCUUCCAGCUUUCUGGGUGCACAAGGAUUGCAAGGAAUUCUUUUAAAAUAUCCAUAUGUCGUCUGCAUCCCGCUGGUUUUCAUAACAGAUAACUCUCUGCUACUUGGAUUCCUUUCACCAAAUUAAUACUUGAUCAGCUCUCGCAUUUGGGGCUUCAUCUUGGCUUUGGUUGAUUUCAUUUAAAAUCACAAUAUCUAUUUUAACUGUUGAUAUAUGCAAAACCAAUAACCAAUAUCUAACAUUCUGUCGCCAGGCAAUAAUAGGUUACCAAUAUCACAACUGCCUGUCUUAAACACUGGUCACAAAACUAAGAUACCUAACAUUUAAAGGUUUGUUCCAUGAUCAAAACGAAUUGAUCACAAUAGAUUAAAAAUCUUUGAUACCUCAAAG
RNAcentral lists this unclassified non-coding RNA (2135 nucleotides) under Hevea brasiliensis (rubber tree). The record is from RNAcentral. Lineage: Eukaryota; Viridiplantae; Streptophyta; Magnoliopsida; Malpighiales; Euphorbiaceae.